This 190-nucleotide ribosomal RNA is filed under the name Alexandrium margalefii. RNAcentral describes it as "partial Bacterial small subunit ribosomal RNA". It matches the Rfam family "Bacterial small subunit ribosomal RNA", at positions 640 to 829 of the family's 1533-position model. The record is from RNAcentral. Lineage: Eukaryota; Dinophyceae; Gonyaulacales; Pyrocystaceae.
ACUAGAGUACGGUAGAGGGUGGUGGAAUUUCCGGUGUAGCGGUGAAAUGCGUAGAUAUCGGAAGGAACAUCAAUGGCGAAGGCAACCACCUGGGCCUGUACUGACACUGAGACACGAAAGCGUGGGGAUCAAACAGGAUUAGAUACCCUGGUAGUCCACGCCGUAAACGAUGUGCACUAGUUUGGUGGAG